This 225-nucleotide long non-coding RNA is filed under the name Physcomitrium patens. RNAcentral's name for it is "long non-coding RNA (PPAT_LNC009161)". Lineage: Eukaryota; Viridiplantae; Streptophyta; Bryopsida; Funariales; Funariaceae. The record is from RNAcentral.
ACGCUAUGGGGGUGGUUAGAUCUUCUCAAGAUAUUUGAGAAUUUGUUCUCAGUUGGGAAAUUGCAACAAUGAUCGGCGACUCGAUCUUUGUGCCAAAGUGUACGUGCCAUUGCAGUGGAUUCAGAGUUAAAUUGCAGUGGCACUCAAGUGGGAAUUGUAUCUGCAGAUCUGACGCUGAUGGUCUAGCUUAACCACUUUAUUCGGGAGGAAGAUUCCACACUUAGA